Megalopta genalis is the source of this 732-nucleotide non-coding RNA. The record is from RefSeq and is a predicted model, not a curated record. NCBI's taxonomy places the organism in Eukaryota, Metazoa, Arthropoda, Insecta, Hymenoptera, Halictidae.
CCUAUUUAUAAGUAUGAGACUUUUUAUCUGGGUAAUGUUUUUAAUGAUCAUAAUUGUUAACAUGUAAUAGUAUAAUACUACCUCUUGCAAUAGGCAGCAUCACUGAUCCUUAUCAGUGAUGGUACCCAACAAGAUAAGAACUUUUUUGUAAGAUUUUAUGUUUACUUGUAGUUGCUAACAUGCCAGACAACUACUAGUUAUUUUACUUACUAUAAAUACCGGGUCACUUCUUUUCCCGUGAAACUGUAAUUGUUUACUUUUUCCAGGAUAAUUACAUUGGCAUUGAAGUUUACUAGCAAGGAUGAUGCGAUAAGCACAGUCUGGCAUUCCUGACGCGCUUGGUUUAACAACAUAGGGUAUUAGAUUGGAGUGAAUAUGAUGAGCUCCUAUGGAAAAUGCACAUGGAAUCACGAUCACCCCCUUCUUUUAACAAAUUUAAUACAUUCGAUAAUGAGCAGUUUCAGCUGCAUUUUAUGGAUAUUGCUGCCAAUAUGGAACAACAUUCCAUCCACUGAUCAAGUAUAUAGUGAUAAUUCAGAAUAAAAUUUGAAAAUUAAAUGAAACCUUAUACUUUAAAAGACAUGUCAAAAGCGCUCUUGUAAUGCCAGAGUUCUUUAUGAUUUUAAAAAAUUUUCUUUUGUAAAAACGUUCACAUUUAUAUCUACAUUGAAAAAUACUAAACAUUCUGGAAUACAUUUUUAUUAUGGAGGGAAAAGAAGUGUAAACAAAUUA